UCGAGGGAUCUGUGUUUUAUGCCGAGCUAACAACUAUAUAAGGCUAUAUCAUGACUAGACAGUAAGCCCGAGGGGGAAUCUUACCCCACUGACCUUUUGUCUCAUGGUAAUUGUUUAUGCAUGAGCAUCUAUAUACGCAGACAAUUCAAAUACUAAAUUAAUUCUGUGAUAGGUGCGAGGUCAAAUCGACCCUUGGCUGUGGGAAAUCGAUUAACGUGAGGUCGAAUCUACUCAUGGUGACCCUAAGCCUGGGACAUGCACGCUAAUUAUACCGUCUUUGUUAGGGGGCACCCAUUCCCAACAACUGGGUGGAUUGACAGCAGUUCUCUGCACCCCAAGGUAUCGAACCGGCGUGCUUCGAACGACCACUGGGCAGCUCCGUGUACACGAUGUCCGUACAUCAUCCUUCGACUAGACCAUCUCUGAGCCUACCUACUGCUCAACCCUGCGCAACUUCAUAGUCAGCAUGACAGUAGAACCACGGGCGUGUAUAAUAGACAAGACAUCGCAAAUUAAUAAUAAAAAAUAUGGCCAUCAAGAACUUGGGAGAUAAUCCCGACUAAAAGAAAAAUCCAAGCGCUGUUCCGCAGAACUUGACAAAUCGAAGUGUCUUAGUGCUCAACACCAACUUCCAGAAUAUCAUCGACCAGCGAGAGACCUGAAACCAGAACGAUUGAGUUCCUUACAAUCCUGGUGAGUGGAGGAGAUAUCUCUGGGAAGAGGACUGGACAACGCUCAUUUAAUCCUUUUCCAGUUUUCUCCCUGCCAGCGAAACCUGAUUGCCACGCGCGUGUUAAUUGUGAAAUGUCCACAGUUUGUUUUAUUGUGCAGACGAUACACUUUUAAAACCUGUUUGAAUCAUUCCAUCCAAGAUAUCGGGAAUCGCGACACGUGCAGCCCGCCUGAUUGCAUUGCCAUGACUCGGAGUGUAAUCGUUGCAAAAGUGUUGACACACUUUGGAUAGACUACAGCAUUACCACAUAAAGUAAGAUAAUUUUUAAGUUGAUAAUUUUGUAUGGUCCGUGAAUAAUGUUCAAAUGGGCCAUGGCAGAGAAAAAGAUUCCCCACCCCUGGACUAGGCCAUGACGACAUGGACAGCUCAAUUGACAGCUUCGACAUACUCUUUUCCCAGUUCAUCCAUUGUGCAAGUGUCAGUCAACCGCUUCAUGUUGUACAUGUCCAGUCAUGCCAUCAUAGCUAAGAAGUAAAGAUAGUUAUAGUUAGAAAAGGUUCAAUAUAAACAGAUUUGAUGUAGACUAAUAGGCCUGCUAGAUAUAAUCUAUAGGUUAUAUUAUGUCAUUAAGUCUCACUUUCUAAGCACUUUUCUGCCCAGAAGGUAGAAUGUGUCAUAUUACCUGGAAGUGUCUUUGCUUUCAGUGAUUAUUAUAUAAUAAUAGUUGAUAUCAUGCAAACUCCAACCAGUCAACAUCUUACUUUCAUGAAUAAGGAGAAUCCUUAUAAACAUUGCAAUGUUUAAGGGUGAAAUAUGCAUUUAAUUCAACAAAAUGAUAUUGCACUGUACAUGCAACAGUGUGUCGCAACAUAAUCAUAAUACCGAGGCACGCACACACUACGCAGUUGAGAAUAAAUUUAGCGCAAAAUAUUCCUUGAUAACAUAAUUUGAUGGGUAGUUAUUAACAGAAGGGUAUAAACAUGCAUGGAAAAGAAUUUGCUUCAUAGGUUGUGCAAGAAGUGUAGUGUUAACUCCACCAAACAAUCACAUCUUUUCAGAAAAAUGAAAUAUCCAAACAUAUGCACAAAGUACCAUUUAGAUAAAGAGAAUGAAUGAGAGCUAAAUCUCUUCAUACAACAACUAAUAAAUGCAAUAUACUAAAACUUUUAAGUUUUAUGUACAAAGUGACUUUCGCUCACAAGCAUGCUCCUGUUCCUAAUACAGUGUAUGUUUCAACUAUGUAUCAUCUAAAGGAUAUAUUUUUGUAGCUCUGUGGUACAGCAUAUAUUAAUCUGCCAUCACUAAUCAAAGUGACUAAAAGAACUGAUCUCUACUUCUUUCAGUCCUUAAUUAAAGCCCUCAGCAAGCUUUCCUUCAUCAGCACUUUUUGAUGAGCCAGAACCAAAGUCUUCUGCCUUACAAAAGGAGCCAAACAUCAGCAUUAUUUAUCUAACAAGAAUGGUUGAAAGACUGAAAGUAAAUCUUUAAAGUCUAUCACUUCUCAAGUCCUUGUUGUGACAAACAGAUUUUCAAUGUCUCACAUGUUCAAAACUUUUAUAAUAAUGUUAAUAAAUAUCUAUACACAUUUCACACAUUCCACUAUUCAUAUACAGAAAUCACUGACAUGAGACCGCCAUUUUUGUCUCUCUUUAGAAGCCAAUAAACUUGGGUGAAAAACCAGAACACAAGCAUGUAAAAGGAAAGAAAAAUAGCCCAUACAAUUUAGAAAUACAUAAGAGUUGUGGUUGAGAAGACAGGAUGCUAUGAACUACAAAUUGUUACAACUGUUUCCCUUUAUAGAACCCAUGUAUAUCUGUUCAGAGACUGGUAUCUUAUGACUAGGCAAUCAAUACUUCAAUCU
Long non-coding RNA from Pomacea canaliculata, 2534 nucleotides. RefSeq lists it as uncharacterized. The transcript is spliced from 2 exons. The record is from RefSeq and is a predicted model, not a curated record. Lineage: Eukaryota; Metazoa; Mollusca; Gastropoda; Architaenioglossa; Ampullariidae.